Molecule: long non-coding RNA, 2025 nt
Organism: Cyprinus carpio (common carp)
Lineage: Eukaryota; Metazoa; Chordata; Actinopteri; Cypriniformes; Cyprinidae
Source: Ensembl
GAUUGCUAAACAGUGGAUAAUCGAUCAGAUUGAAACCUUUGGCCUGCUUCCUCUCAUCAUACCACGGAAAGAUGAACUGCAAGAUGAGAGUUUAAUGGAAGGGACCCCUGACUCCCAGUCUGACAGGUCACAAUCUGAUAUCUUUGCUGAGUUGGAUGAUCUGGCCCCUCGCUCAAGUUCCUGUGUGUCUCCAGACCACCCAGCCGGGAGUCAAACUGACCGAUCCUCACCUACCAAAGAUCUGAGUCCUGGACUUGUGGCACUAACUGUGGGAUGUGAUUCAGGUGAUCUGGGAUCUUUGUCCCGUGUGCAGCUCCUGCUAUUGGAGCGAAGAGGAUCCAAGAGUCCAGGAUCCAUCCCAAGCCCUGAAUGGUGUCAUACUUCGGACGGGGAGGAGUAUGAACCUGACCUUAGAGUCUAGAGCUCGGGCAUUCCCCAAUAUUAUCAGUCCACAGCCCUGGACAACCGCAAACCAUUAAGUGGCAGAAACAGUGGCCAAGAUUCUUUGGCAACUUUCAAGGGACGUAGAAAGUGGCCCGGGGUGAGUACGCCACUCAUAAAACCAUUUCAACACACACAUAGAGGAAUCUAUGAGCCACUUUAUGGCUGUUGUUGCUGUAUGGAGGCAACUGGGGGAUUUCUGCUUGCUGCUGUGCGGCAGGUGUGGGUCUAAUAAGUCACUACAGAGGAGAAAAAGGUGCAGUCGCUUAUAAAAAAGGAAGUUGGGCUUCUCUGACUUGCCAUGCUGAUAAGUGGCCUGAAUUUUAGGGCAUGGAUGUGCCACAGCGGGGCCAAAGGGCAAGGUUUAGGGGGUAAACGGUGUCAGCGAGGGGUAUGAGGACUCAAAGCACUGGAUGCAGGUGCAAAGGGAUGGAGACAUUAAUCUUUCUUUUAUGAAGGAAGGAGGAAGGCAAGGGGAGGGGUAUGGUGGCUGAAACAUGAAUGUGUUGUAAGCUGCCGUCAAUUAAGUUUCAGUACAAUAGAUUUUCCCCAGGACAGAUUACUGUCGACACUAGGGAGGCCAUUGCUUCUUUGCAGCACAGCAGGGCCCACACUUAGCCCGGCCAUAACCGCGAACACACACAUUCAUAUUUGGUGGUUAUGCAUUUCUGUCCUGUUUGUGUGUUAAUUGUUGUGCUUUUAACUCAUCAGUGUGGAGAGUGGAUCAAGGACAUCAUACUUUUGUUCUCUCAACUCAAGGGUGCCUGAGAGUAGCUCUAAGAGCCAAGAAAAACCCACCUGUGAGGACCAGGACAAGGAUUUGAGUUGAGAAAUGACACCUUACAGAUGGAAAUCAUAACAGUGCUCACAUUGUCUCCAAACCCUCUCACUGCUGAAAUCAAGAUUUUGAAAAAAUUAAUUCCUGGUUCCAGGUUAAGCUCAAUUUGUGGCAUUAUAUUGUUUACCACAAAAACAUUUUUGACUCGUCCCUCCUCUUUAAAAAAAACAACAGUGAGGGACUCACAAUGAAAGUGAAUGGAGCCAAUCUAGAAACAUUCAAAAACUCACUGUUUCAAACAUAUAGCCACAAGACUUUAACAAUAUGUGUGUUCAUAUGAUUUACAUGUGAAAAAAAAAAUCAUGUACUAAUAAUUUCUGUAUAAAGUUAUGUCCAAUUUUACAACUUUACAACAAAACGUCAUAAGCCCUAAAAUGACUCUAAAAAUAUGAUUUAAACAGCUUUACAGAUCAAAUAAUACACUUUUAGCUAGCCAGCUUUUAACAGAAGAAUUACUGUACAUUACCAUCUAAAGGUUGGGGUCUUAAAAUAUAAAUUAUCAGUGUGAUGAAGCAGCCAUUACUCCAGUCCUCGGUGUCACAUGAUCCUUCAUGUAUCGUUCUAAUGUGCUAAUUUGGUGAAAAAAAAAAAAAAAAACGUUGGUGUUUCUUGUUAUUGUCAGUGAUGAAAACAGUUGUGCUGCUUAACAUUUUGGUGAAACUGUGAUACACUUUUUUUUAGGAUUCUUUGAAAGUUUAAAAGAACAAUAUAUAUUUGAAAUAAAUUUUGUUUUCACUCUUGAUCCA